RNAcentral lists this ribosomal RNA (337 nucleotides) under uncultured Pseudomonadota bacterium. Its description in RNAcentral is "bacterial SSU rRNA". It matches the Rfam family "Bacterial small subunit ribosomal RNA", at positions 29 to 351 of the family's 1533-position model. The record is from RNAcentral. Lineage: Bacteria; Pseudomonadati; Pseudomonadota.
AGCGAACGUUAGCGGCGCGCCUAACACAUGCAAGUCGCACGAGAAAGGGCUUCGGCCCCAGUAAAGUGGCGCACGGGUGCGUAACACGUAGGCAAUCUUCCCUUGGGUGGGGGAUAACCUUCCGAAAGGAGGGCUAAUACCGCGUAAGACCACGUCCGGUUCGCCGGAUGAGGUCAAAGGUGGCCUCUGCAUGCAAGCCACCGCCUGAGAAUGAGCCUGCGGCCCAUCAGCUAGUUGGUAGGGUAACGGCCUACCAAGGCUAAGACGGGUAGCUGGUCUGAGAGGAUGAUCAGCCACACUGGCACUGAAACACGGGCCAGACUCCUACGGGAAGCAG